GAUAAAUUUGUCGAAAUUGUUUAGGUUCUUUAGAAAUCAGGCCAUAGGCUGUUCUGGAGGAAACAGAUACUGGUUAAUUGAUUACAAAAAAGUUGGACUUUCUUCGGUGAGACCCGUUAUUUUAAAUUUGUCGAAAUUUGUUAGGUGCUGAAUCUGUCAGGCCUGUCAGUGAUUGUAAAUAUAAGACGUCUUUGUAAUAUAAAAUAAUAGAGUUUUGUCUGAGCUUUGUGUGACCCUGUGUGUGACGUGCAGCUGCAGCGCUGCGAGCUAUUUUUAGACGGUGUGUGAACAUGCAAAUGAGCUGUGACGCGCACAGAGGACUUUUGUUGCUGUUUAGCGUGUUUUUGAGUUUUAUAAUUUUGAUUUGCAAACAAUGAUACAUGCCUGUAAGUAAAACGCUGAUUUUGCUGAUUAUGAUACUACAAAUAAGGUGUUGAAUGACUAGGGUGUGAAUGAUGUUGGAGUUUAAAGCUGAAACUCAGAGAGGAGUGUGUUGGGAGACUGGCAUGUAGUCUGCAGUGCAAAGGUGGGCGUCUUGCCUGCUAGUCUAUUUAACAGUAAUGAAAAUGAUAUUAAAUAAAUCUCUCAGUGUGUUGAUACAGGUGGCUAUGGGGCUGGACCAACUGCCCCCACAAGCACGGCGGCCGAAGCAAAAUUAUAGUAAUGGACACAAAAUCAGCAAGAAUCAGCAGCUGUGGAAAAGACAGCAGCUAGCAGAGAAUUAAAGGAGAAAUUAACAGAAGUUUUACACAUAAAAUUGCGGCCAACACACUUGUGGAGGUUGGGAAGGCGCCUGGAGCAUCACAACAAGAAGGUGAAACAAAAACACACACAAGCAGAGAAAUGUGAGAGAGAGGCACGUGCUAGAGAAAUGCCUCGUUUGAGAAAAAAACGUUAAAUUAGCCCAUGUACAAACGCACAUACACGCAAUGAAGAAACAGCUUACACCCAUGAACACGUGAAGAUUUUCCAGCAAGUUUAAAGCAGUGAAACUUAACAUACACCCGCCGUUACACAAUAAAGUUUAUCCACUACUAACAAAUAAACCCUCUGGGUUGCAGGAUAACAACUUAACUUCAAAAAAAAAAAAAAAAAAUCACAACCAGUGAUUACACGACAAAUUUAGUGGUUAAUAAAAGUCAAAUUGUGACUGAAUGAAAGAAAAUUCCAUUUUUGUGCUUUAAACAUGAUCUUAAGAAUUUUAACAUGUACCUGUGUUGUCCUGUCAGCUUGGUGGGUUAUGAGAGGAUUAUAUGGUGAAAAAAAAAAAAAAAAAAAGGGGGAGAGAAGGCUGACACAGGGCCUGGCCCCGUUGUUUUUCCCCUCUCUGAGUAACACAGCCAAUACAACAUGAUUUUCCUGUUCGUUUGUUUUUGUUUUUGUUUUGUUUUGUUUUUUUCUCUUUAUGCUUGAUUACAGGCUGCUUUGUCGGCCCGGAAAAGCCGAGGCUGACCCUGGACUCCUGCUCUCCCCUCUACCAUCUUUGCUCUCUCCUCUACCAUCUUUGAUGUGACCCUGACUAAAUGCUAAAGCAGCUGAACCCGCAACAAC
Molecule: long non-coding RNA, 1551 nt
Organism: Astatotilapia calliptera (eastern happy)
Lineage: Eukaryota; Metazoa; Chordata; Actinopteri; Cichliformes; Cichlidae
Source: Ensembl